CAANGGGGGGGCCUAUACAUGCAAGUCGUAACGCAUNGNCUUUUAUCCACCGGNAGCUUGCUCCACCGGUAAAAAGAAGAGUGGCGAACGGGUGAGUAACACGUGGGUAACCUGCCCAUCAGAAGGGGAUAACACUUGGAAACAGGUGCUAAUACCGUAUAACAAUCGAAACCGCAUGGUUUUGAUUUGAAAGGCGCUUUCGGGUGUCGCUGAUGGAUGGACCCGCGGUGCAUUAGCUAGUUGGUGAGGUAACGGCUCACCAAGGCCACGAUGCAUAGCCGACCUGAGAGGGUGAUCGGCCACAUUGGGACUGAGACACGGCCCAAACUCCUACGGGAGGCAGCAGUAGGGAAUCUUCGGCAAUGGACGAAAGUCUGACCGAGCAACGCCGCGUGAGUGAAGAAGGUUUUCGGAUCGUAAAACUCUGUUGUUAGAGAAGAACAAGGAUGAGAGUAACUGUUCAUCCCUUGACGGUAUCUAACCAGAAAGCCACGGCUAACUACGUGCCAGCAGCCGCGGUAAUACGUAGGUGGCAAGCGUUGUCCGGAUUUAUUGGGCGUAAAGCGAGCGCAGGCGGUUUCUUAAGUCUGAUGUGAAAGCCCCCGGCUCAACCGGGGAGGGUCAUUGGAAACUGGGAGACUUGAGUGCAGAAGAGGAGAGUGGAAUUCCAUGUGUAGCGGUGAAAUGCGUAGAUAUAUGGAGGAACACCAGUGGCGAAGGCGGCUCUCUGGUCUGUAACUGACGCUGAGGCUCGAAAGCGUGGGGAGCAAACAGGAUUAGAUACCCUGGUAGUCCACGCCGUAAACGAUGAGUGCUAAGUGUUGGAGGGUUUCCGCCCUUCAGUGCUGCAGCUAACGCAUUAAGCACUCCGCCUGGGGAGUACGACCGCAAGGUUGAAACUCAAAGGAAUUGACGGGGGCCCGCACAAGCGGUGGAGCAUGUGGUUUAAUUCGAAGCAACGCGAAGAACCUUACCAGGUCUUGACAUCCUUUGACCACUCUAGAGAUAGAGCUUCCCCUUCGGGGGCAAAGUGACAGGUGGUGCAUGGUUGUCGUCAGCUCGUGUCGUGAGAUGUUGGGUUAAGUCCCGCAACGAGCGCAACCCUUAUUGUUAGUUGCCAUCAUUCAAUU
RNAcentral lists this ribosomal RNA (1130 nucleotides) under Enterococcus faecium. RNAcentral's name for it is "bacterial SSU rRNA". It matches the Rfam family "Bacterial small subunit ribosomal RNA", at positions 36 to 1130 of the family's 1533-position model. The record is from RNAcentral. Lineage: Bacteria; Bacillati; Bacillota; Bacilli; Lactobacillales; Enterococcaceae.